GAUGAACGCUAGCUACAGGCUUAACACAUGCAAGUCGAGGGGCAGCAUGUUGGUUGCUUGCAACCAAUGAUGGCGACCGGCGCACGGGUGAGUAACGCGUAUCCAACCUUCCCCUUAGUAGGGCAUAGCCCGUAGAAAUGCGGAUUAAUACCCUAUGUUGUUCGUAGAGGACAUCUGAAAUGAACCAAAGGCUUACCGCUAAGGGAUGGGGAUGCGUCUGAUUAGGUAGUCGGCGGGGUAACGGCCCACCGAGCCCUCGAUCAGUAGGGGUUCUGAGAGGAAGGUCCCCCACAUUGGAACUGAGACACGGUCCAAACUCCUACGGGAGGCAGCAGUGAGGAAUAUUGGUCAAUGGACGGAAGUCUGAACCAGCCAAGUAGCGUGCAGGAUGACGGCCCUAUGGGUUGUAAACUGCUUUUAUAUAGGGAUAAAGUUGGGGACGUGUCCCCGUUUGUAGGUACUAUAUGAAUAAGGACCGGCUAAUUCCGUGCCAGCCGCCGCAGUAAGAC
Molecule: ribosomal RNA, 509 nt
Filed under: uncultured bacterium
Lineage: Bacteria
Description: bacterial SSU rRNA
Rfam family: Bacterial small subunit ribosomal RNA
Source: RNAcentral